This 1056-nucleotide long non-coding RNA is filed under the name Equus caballus (horse). RNAcentral describes it as "lncRNA (ENSECAG00000047559.1)". Lineage: Eukaryota; Metazoa; Chordata; Mammalia; Perissodactyla; Equidae. The record is from RNAcentral.
AGAAAGUCAGCCCUAGUGCUCUAGUGGUUAAGAUUUAGGGCUCUCACAGCUGCGGCUGGGGGUUUGUUUCCUUGUCAGGGAACCACACCACCCGUCUGUCAUUGUCUUACUGUGGCAUCUGUGUGUUGCUGUGAUGCUGAAAGCUAUGCCCCCGGUAUUUCAGAUACCAGCAGGGUCACCCAUAGUGGACAGGUUUCGGCAGAGCUUCCAGACCAAGACAAACUAGGAAGAAGGACCUGGCCACCCACUCCCGAAAACACUGGCCAUGAAAACCAUAUGAGGAGCAGCGGAGCGUUGUCUGAUACAGCGCCAGCAGGUGAGAAGAUGGCACCGAAAGACUGGGCGAGGUACUGCUCUGCUGUCCACAGGGUUGCUAGGAGUCAGAAUCCACUCAACGGCACUAACAACAAAAAGAAAAGAAAAGAAAACAGGGUGGGGAAAGGUCACAGGGCAUAUGCUCUAGACAAGUUAGCUAUGCUGUUUUGGUACUGCUUUUUAGUUUUUAUGCCAAGACACUUAGGCUUCUUUGUGGUGAGUGCUAAACAGAAAUUAAACCAACAAUUGGACCAAAACAUGUUAACAAUAUGCCCACAAACAAUGUUUCUGCCCCUUCACCGGUGCCCGUCACAAAUUCAGCCAAGAGGCCACUAAGGCCCCACAGUUGUUUGCUGGACUACUGCCCUAUGAGAACAAUAGAUGUUGAUUUGUUUUUUUGUUUAAUUGUUCCUCUAAUUUGACUAACCAUAAGGCUGAUUUGUACAUUUACAAACAUUAAGAUCUGGAUUGGAUUUCCGAUCCUCAGUGUCACUCAGUCUUUCAACAUCCCAAUGGGCCCGUGUGUGUUGGCCACCUUUCAGAUCCUUCUAUUUCAGAAAUGGUGGGGUCCCACAUGUUGGUCUCUACUGGGUUUCUAGCACAGCCAGCCAGCUUUGAAUGGGGAAAGACACAAGAGGGACUCGCAAGUAUGUCAGCCUUUUCCUCUAAGUGAACCUUCAUUUUUUCCCUUCCCGUCUGCGUUAUCCUGCUACGGUACUUUAAACUUCUCCCGUCAUUAAG